This 822-nucleotide ribosomal RNA is filed under the name Rotylenchus goodeyi. RNAcentral describes it as "partial large subunit ribosomal RNA". The record is from RNAcentral. Lineage: Eukaryota; Metazoa; Nematoda; Chromadorea; Rhabditida; Hoplolaimidae.
ACUGGGAAGAGUCCAGCGCUGAAUCGYGGCRCCUCUGGUGCCGCGWGGUGUAGCGUACAGACCGUGAGCAUGGGUUGGCCUGCCCGUUCAAGUUUCCCUUGACCGGGGCUCCAGAGAAGGUGCAAGACCUGUCCAACGGGCGGCAGCCAGUCCAUUUUCGCGUGUCUCGGAGUCGGGUUGUUUGGGAUCGCAGCCCAAAGCAGGUGGUAAACUUCAUCUAAGACUGAAUAUGACUACGAGUCCGAUAGCGAACAAGUACCGUGAGGGAAAGUUGCAAAGCACUUUGAAGAGAGAGUUAAAGAGGACGUGAAACCGAUGAGGUGGAAACGGACAGAGCUGGCGUAUCUGGCCUGUAUUCAGCCACGGGCCCGYCGGUGUCAGGGAUGCCGCUCUCCAGAUUGGGACGGUGGCCUGUCUGCUGGUGSGYUUGUGGUGCAUUUGCAGGUGGAGUGCGCCGAGGCGCUCGGGCACAGCGGCAUGAGCCCAGUUUUGAGGCCAGCCUCGCAAGAGGUCUGGUACCCGGACUGGGGGAGUGYUGUUUGGCCUGGGUGUACAAGUGGSGCAAUGGAAUCGGSCCCGUGCGGGUGCCGAGCUGGCAGUCGGCGUCGGUCGCAUSCGACACGUSCCAGCGGUCAGUUCGGUCCUGCUCGAGCUCACAUCUGCCCGUCCUCGGUGUAAAAGCCGGUCAUCUGUCCGACCCGUCUUGAAACACGGACCAAGSAGUUUAGCGUGUGCGCGAGUCAUUGGGCGUUAAAAACCCAAAGGCGCAAUGAAAGUGAAGGUCUCCCUUGCGGAGCUGAUGUGUGAUCCUGGUGCACUGCG